ACGAAAGAAUGUGCUCACCAAGUCCUCCCACGCACUCCAUGCUCUGCUCCUGGAAUUCUGAUUAUUUCAGUAUCAUGCUACAACUUGUUUAGAAUAUUAGAAGAAAAACUGAAUUUCCAAAAGGAAAAACUAUGUUGGAACUGCAGUUCAUGAACCUCAUGGCUAUGACUGAAUCUCAGCUGUCCAAAUGCUUCUGGAUUUUAUGUGGUCUUAUCUCGCGUAUACACGCAUCGCGCUUGCACUAAACACUACGAAUUGAUGCAUGCUCCUGUUCGGAAUAUCCUUUUUUUUUUUUGCAUCAUGUCUUGUGAUCACAGGCACAAGGCACACAGGUCGAUGUGCUCCACCUGAUGCGCAAGAAUUCGUGGAAUACCGGCAAGGAAGCUGCCACGGGAUAUUCUAUAGAAUCAUUGCCGUGCUCCACCAUGGACGGUGCAAUUUGCAAGCCCCAUCCGCAGCAGCGGAUCCCUGCUGCCAUACCGUUCAGCGGACUUCUCCGCAUUCUUGUUCGGCUGGGAACUGAAACCUGACGAGAAUUCCUCAUCCCUGCUGGAACUAUUCAAUUUAAGCGGACGAGGACUUGAUGAGUGGCAUUUCUCCAUGUUCGCUAUCAGUGAGCUGUUAGCAACUUAGCAUUGUGUCCUUCUUGUGAGGCGAAUGUGACGUGGGAGGUUGACAUCAUCACUUGGAGUGGGUUCUUCACUAGCAAAGGCAUGUUCGAGGAGUUGUUAAGUAGGAGAGCUAUCAGAGGAAGCCUUGCAUAAUUUGUUACAUAAAUAGUCUACCUGUUUUUCUAGGAAAAAAUUGCAUAGGACAGUCUGGUGUUUGCUAUUUCGCGCCGAACUUCAGUAAUUGCCUAGGUGCGAUUAGAAAUACCUGCCACUUUGCCAUAACACACCACAACCAUUACAAAUAUGUUCAGCUAAGCCAAAAAUGCUUCCUAAAUUGAAGGGGGAAAUAGUCUAUUCACUAGCACUCUCUUACUUGAGAUUAUUAGAAAAAUGCCAUUCAAAUAGUUGCCGCGCGUUAUGGCAAAGAACCAUAAAUUUGCCAUGGUACCUCCCUGAUUAUUGAAAGUUGAGUGAAAUAGCCAAUGGCAGAAAAAUUCAGUGUCCAAUGGCAAAUUUACUUCCAUCAUUUUUCCCAUCGCACUUCAACAUAUGUAAACUGGAAAACGAACGAUUUAUUUCAAGCUAAAGUAAUAUGAUAAUCGUAAAAAGGAUUGCCGAAUAGUAGUAUACAGUAAACAAGAUCGUGGACGGGUCGAAAAAACAAGAUGAAGGAGAAAGAAGGAAAAUUUUGAUCCACGGAUGUAUCAUCUGCUUCAGAUAUCCAUGAGCGACGAAAGAUGCCUCAUCUGAAUAUUUCCCUUGUAUUUCUUUCUUAGCUUAGAGCUUUUCCCUUGCUCAAUUAUUGAAGUCAUAGGAAGAAUUCCAGGAUGAAAAUGGAAAAGAACUACUGUUGGUCAGGGUAGUAUAUCUUUGUGCACCUGUGCUUGAAAUCCAAAUUUGUGCCGUUGUGCGCCUGUCUACAUAUUCAAGAACCACCAACUGGCCUGUUCUAAACAUUUUAAAUACGGAAUAGAUCACAAUUAAGACAAAAAAAUUGUACUCCACUCCAUGUCCUAUGCAUGAUUGCUUCAAAUAUGAUAUAACCUGAUGGUUCAUAAACUUAUGACCACACCAGGCAGCAAGAAUCUCCUCAUGAUAUUUUCUGAAAACGUCGGGAUCUCGACAGACAAACAUGCUAAACGUCCAAAGAGAAAACGGCGGAGUUUUUAAUGGUAGGUCAGUUUCACUCACACAUCUCGAAUCAUGCAGGGAGCACGGCCAGGAGAACCGGCACAUGUCUUUCGCGACCGUUUGAUCUGGCAGUACAGGACAGUAGUGUGCCUGUCCCCGCAGGGUCACUCGGCCAGUGGAUAUGAUCGGCAGGGUGAGGCCACCUCCCCGAUUGCUUGGCCCCUCCACGCGCUCGCGCGGUCGCGCCCAAAGGAAAUUGAGAUCUUGGAAGCAGUAACGUUUACAUUUUGCUAUAAAUGUGUAACUGUAGUAUUUCAUUUGUAUAUAUGAAUUAUUGUCCAAACAUUGACUAAUUAGACUUAAAAGAUUCGUCUCGCAAAGUAUAACAAAACUGUGCAAUUAGUUUUUGAUUUCGUCUACAUUUAGUAGACCAUGAAUGUACCGCAAAUUUGAUGUGAUGGGAAAUCUUCCUUUUCAUAGUACCAAAGUUGAAAAACAGGGGAACUAAACAAGACCUGAAUUAUCUGCGACGGCGAUGGUAUUACGACUACAUGCUGAGGAAACAGAGGCUUGCGUGGCUGCUUUAGGGAUGAGUCGAUGACCACUGAAUGCUUGGCGUGGCAGCCUGGUCAAGCAAGAUUGGUUGCCAGAAUGCAGAUUUGAUAGCUUAUUUUUUAUAAUCGGCAGAUUUGAUAUUAGUUUGCCGUUGCCAUGUGGAUGCAACUGAGAUGAUGUCACAGGCAAUUGCCAUGUGGAUAAACGGCGGUCAUGGCGAGACUGGAAGCGACGACCUCCUCGAUCCACAUCAGCAACAUAUUCCGCACCCAAUUGAACACAGCUGUCAUCUGACAUCUUCGGGAUUACGUGUUUUAGAGCUUGGGAAAGCAAACCAAUGUAGCCGCAGAAUAUUCAAACGGACAGGGGACGAACCAUUGCGAGCGUUGCCAUAGCAGACGUACUCCCAAAUUGUAAACAGACGAAGACGAAGCAGACAAUAGUAGAUCGACACCAAACAGACACGAAACAUAACAGGAUUAUUAAUCCAGAAACGAAGCAGGACUAAACAAGUUUCUUACAACAUAAGAUGUUGUAAACGACAUACGACGACAGAUAACAGUUCAAACCGACACACCGACACACAACAAGAUAAGAUAGGAGCCACUCGGGCAGAUCAUAGGAUAACCGCGGCACACAGGCCUGACACAGCAGCAGGAAGCAUCGUCUAGUACUCGUCACCCUCGUCUCCUUCCUCGCCCUCGUCGAACUCAGCGCCGACCUCCUCGUAGUCCUUCUCGAGCGCAGCCAGGUCCUCACGGGCCUCAGAGAACUCGCCCUCCUCCAUGCCCUCACCCACGUACCAGUGAACGAAGGCACGCUUGGCGUACAUGAGGUCAAACUUGUGGUCGAUGCGGGAGAACACCUCGACCACGCUGGUGGAGUUGGAGAUCAUGCACACGGCACGCUGCACCUUGGCCAGGUCACCGCCAGGCACCACGCUGGGGGGCUGGUAGUUGAUGCCGCACUUGAACCCAGUGGGGCACCAGUCCACGAACUGGAUGGUGCGCUUGGUCUUGAUGGUGGCAACAGCAGCGUUGACGUCCUUGGGCACCACAUCACCACGGUACAUGAGGCAGCAAGCCAUGUACUUGCCAUGGCGGGGGUCGCACUUGGCCAUCAUGGAGGACGGCUCAAAGGCGCUGUUGGUGAUCUCUGCAACAGACAGCUGCUCAUGGUAGGCCUUCUCGGCAGAGAUGACUGGUGCAUAGGAUGAAAGCAUGAAGUGGAUCCUCGGGUAGGGCACCAAGUUGGUCUGGAACUCGUUCACAUCCACGUUCAGAGCACCAUCGAACCUCAGGGAGGCAAUCAGAGAUGAGAUGACCUGCAUCACAACAAUGAUGACGAACAGAAGGUUAGACAAGCACAGAUUUCAGAACCAUUCACAAUGCAGAGGGACAACACUGAAUGUUGCGACAGUAAACCAAGGCAGUACCUGAGACACGAGCCUGUUGAGGUUGGUGUAGGUGGGGCGCUCAAUGUCAAGGGAGCGGCGGCAGAUGUCAUAGAUGGCCUCAUUGUCAAGCAGAACAGCAACAUCAGUGUGCUCGAGGAGGGAGUGGGUGGACAGGACACUGUUGUAUGGCUCAACCACUGAGGUGGAGACCUGGGGAGAUGGGUACACAGUGAACCCGAGCUUGGACUUCUUGCCAUAGUCAACAGACAGACGCUCAAGGAGGAGAGAACCAAGACCAGAGCCUGUUCCUCCACCAACAGCAUUGAAGACAAGGAAGCCCUGGAGACCAGUGCAGUUGUCGGCAAGCUUCCUGAUGCGGUCAAGGCACAGGUCAACAAUCUCCUUGCCAACUGCAAGACAAGCAAUCAAAGUCAGACUUUCAAUGAAGGAUGGAUAACUGGAAACAAUGUGCACUUUGAGAUCAGAUCAUGUUACUUACUGGUGUAGUGACCACGGGCAAAGUUAUUGGCAGCAUCCUCCUUGCCACUGAUGAGCUGCUCAGGGUGGAAGAGCUGGCGGUAAGUACCAGUCCUCACCUCAUCAAUCACAGUGGGCUCAAGGUCAACAAAAACAGCACGGGGCACAUGCUUCCCAGCACCAGUCUCACUGAAGAAGGUGUUGAAAGCAUCAUCACCUCCUCCAACGGUCUUGUCGCCGGGCAUCUGGCCAUCAGCCUGAACAGAGCAAAACAAGCAGCAUUAGAGAUGCAAAUCACAAAUGGAAACAGUUAGAUUAGAUAACACAAAGGCACAUCAUAAACAAGCUAAUAAGAUAACUGCAUACCACACGACUGCCUGUACGAGCAAGUUAACAUCUAGGUAAUAUAAUUAUGACUGAUCAAUAAGAUCUAGGAAUACAUGUACAUGAGAGGCAUAGACACAUUCUAAGCCAACUAGCCUAGUACACUCUAGUACAGCAGGCAGAUCUAGAUCUUACAAGGAAUAACAACACAUAGGCCAUGCCUUUCAAACCAUUACAUCGAAUUCAUACAUCCUAAUGUAUCAUGCUUAAUUACAGAUUGCAAGGACAUUAUUUAGCAAAUGUACAUGAACACUGCAGAAACCUGAAUAGCAAAACACAGCCGUCACUAGCCCACUUCUAACUGAGAAUGAUUCGAAUUUUUAACAAUAUCUACGUUAAAUUAUAAUAAGCACAUUUUUCCACACAACAAGCAUCUAGAUCUAAACAGAUGUUACGAACCGGAGACUCUACUUUCUUAAAAUAGAGACCAACAAUGUUCAGAUCCACCCAAGAAUAAGCUAAAUCAGCACCAAUUAAGCUAACAGAUCUACUGAAUCAACAACACCAGGUAAAAUAAUGAGUAAUUCCGGCUAAUUCCCAUUCAAAUUCCACAUCUGCAUACCCAGAUCUAUAAUAAUAACAACUGCAAAUAGCCACCAUUUCACCAGACCUACGGCUUAUGCCAAGCAAUCGCAGAUCUGGGCAGCCACCAUCACACACAGCUAGAUCCGCACAGUUCUACAGAUUUCAAAUGCCAUAACCCCCCCCCCCUACUCAGAUCCACUAAAUCCAGCACAAAUCAACCCGACAUACGCCCUGAUCUACCACAGAUCUGGCAUCGAGAAGCGAAAACGAAGGCGAAAUGGACGGAUCGGUACCUGAAUGCCAUGCUCGAGGCAGUAGAGCUCCCAGCACGCGUUUCCGACCUGUAUACCGGCCUGGCCGAUGUGGAUCGAGAUGCACUCCCUCAUGGUGUCGUCGGAAGGGUGGUGCGGCGGCGACGGCGGCGGCGGUAGGGAAUGGGAGGACGGGGAAAGCUUUGAGUCGCGAGAGAGGCGAGUACGAAGACGCCUUCCUCUGCGGUGCUCGGCUU
This 5587-nucleotide long non-coding RNA is filed under the name Setaria viridis. RNAcentral's name for it is "long non-coding RNA (SVIR_LNC010140)". Lineage: Eukaryota; Viridiplantae; Streptophyta; Magnoliopsida; Poales; Poaceae. The record is from RNAcentral.